RNAcentral lists this ribosomal RNA (373 nucleotides) under uncultured bacterium. RNAcentral describes it as "bacterial SSU rRNA". It matches the Rfam family "Bacterial small subunit ribosomal RNA", at positions 521 to 896 of the family's 1533-position model. The record is from RNAcentral.
UAAUACGGAGGGUGCGAGCGUUGUCCGGAUUUAUUGGGUUUAAAGGGUGCGUAGGUGGCUUUAUAAGUCAGUGGUGAAAUACAGCCGCUCAACGGUUGAGGUGCCAUUGAUACUGUAAAGCUUGAAAUAAUUGGAGGCUGCCGGAAUGGAUGGUGUAGCGGUGAAAUGCAUAGAUAUCAUCCAGAACACCGAUUGCGAAGGCAGGUGGCUACGAUUUGUUUGACACUGAGGCACGAAAGCAUGGGGAGCAAACAGGAUUAGAUACCCUGGUAGUCCAUGCUGUAAACGAUGAGGACUCGCUGUUGGUGUUCAUGCAUCAGCGGCUUAGGGAAACCGUUAAGUCCUCCACCUGGGGAGUACGCCGGCAACGGUG